This is a long non-coding RNA of Mus musculus (house mouse), 1526 nucleotides long. RefSeq annotates it as predicted gene 10447. NCBI's taxonomy places the organism in Eukaryota, Metazoa, Chordata, Mammalia, Rodentia, Muridae. The transcript is spliced from 3 exons. The record is from RefSeq and is marked validated.
CACACACACACACACACACCACAUGUCCCCUGCACUGGGUAACAAUGUAAGCUGUGGCACCUAGCUUUUCCCUUAGCUACUGCAGACCCAAGCUCAGCUCCUCAUGUUUGAGUGGCAAGCACUUUGCCCACUGCCCCACUGCCCAUUCGUCUCAUGGUCAGCAAGCUCUGUGACUCCAACUCUGUAAAAGUCUGUCCAUUUGAGGACUCUGGAGAACUUGCCCAAGUCUCAGAAAGCACAGAGCCACAGAAGAGGAGAGACAUCUAGAUUCUCAUUUUUAUGUAAGUCUCCUUACAUAGCCUAGGCUGGCCUGAAUCUAGAGUUUCAGACAGCUGCCACAUGGAAGCUGGGAACCAAACCUAGAUCCUCUAUUGGGAUAGCAAGUGUUCCUAACCAUUCAGUUGUCUCUCCAGUCUACCAUAUACAAAUGAAAGAGACAGAGACAGAGACAGAGACAGAGACAGAGUCAGAGACAGAGACAGAGACAGAGACAGGCAGAGGGAGGGGGUUGGUGAGAGGGAGAGAGAAACUAGUUGCAAAAGCAACGGUUUGAGAAAAGUCACUCAGUAUCCCAGAUGGAAUCAUUUGCCCAUUCUGUGGACUGUGUUUAUGUUUUGUGUGUGUCCGAUCUGAUGACAGUCCUGGUUGUGUCCUGAUCCUCACUGGUACAGAAUGUUCCGUGUGUGCCUUGUGCAGUGGUUUGUGAGGCCUCCUGUGAAUGUCAGUUCAGCUCCUGGCAGCACCAACAUCUAACUGGCAUUGGUAGGCCAGCUUCUAGGUCUUGGGGUCGGCUUCUCCUUUUCACAGAAGAAAAGUGGAACGGGGUGGGGUGGGAGGUGUCUCAGGAGUCAGGCUCCUUGGCUGUCUCCUCUAUCCCUAGAAGACCUCGGAAAAUAGAGACCUCAGGCUCUCUAGGCCCAGGACCUGGCAGCCCAGACUCCCGGAUGGAGUUUUGUCUGUCAGUGCCUAUGAAUGGGUACUCACAGGCUUUGGGAAGAAGGACAACAGAGAGCACAGUGGCAGGUGGAGUCAGAACACUUUCCUCCCCCUGAGACAAGGUUUCUCUGUGUAGCCUUGGCUGUCCUGAAACUUACUUUGUAGACCAGGCUGGCCCCAAACUCACAAAGAUCUACCUGCCUCUACCUCGGAGUGUUGAGAUUAAAGACUCAGGACGAGGCUGGCCUUGAUUUCACAGUUCUCAUGCUUCAGCUUCCUAAGUGCUGUGAGGGCAUCUGACUGUGACAGCUGUCACUCCACUGAUUGAUUACCAGAGUUGACUCAAGCUGACCUAGCUGGCCAGGUAUGACCAGCCAAAGCUCCCAGUCCUGUACCUGCUGAGGACUCAGCUGAUCUGGAGUCUAAAGGGAGCAACAGUCCAGUUCUGGAGCUCUGGCUCAAGGCUGCGCGUGAGAACUGCAUGCUGGACUUGGCAUAGAACUGGGUGACAGCAUGCCCUGUGCGCGUGGCGUGAACUGUGACUGUUGGCUCUGGAAACAGAAUAAAGGCUCCUGGGUUCACCAAGAAAA